RNAcentral lists this ribosomal RNA (741 nucleotides) under uncultured bacterium. RNAcentral's name for it is "bacterial SSU rRNA". It matches the Rfam family "Bacterial small subunit ribosomal RNA", at positions 8 to 796 of the family's 1533-position model. The record is from RNAcentral.
AGAGUUUGAUCAUGGCUCAGAACGAACGCUGGCGGCAGGCCUAACACAUGCAAGUCGAGCGCCCAGCAAUGGGAGCGGCGGACGGGUGAGUAACACGUGGGAAUUUUCCUCAAGGUACGGAACAACUCAGGGAAACUUGGGCUAAUACCGUAUGAUGCAGAGAUGCCAAAGAUUUAUCGCCUUGGGAUAAGCCCGCGACAGAUUAGGUAGUUGGUGAGGUAACGGCUCACCAAGCCUGUGAUCUGUAGCUGGUCUGAGAGGACGAUCAGCCACAUUGGGACUGAGACACGGCCCAAACUCCUACGGGAGGCAGCAGUGGGGAAUCUUGCGCAAUGGGCGAAAGCCUGACGCAGCCAUGCCGCGUGAAUGAUGAAGGUCUUAGGAUUGUAAAGUUCUUUCGCCUGUGACGAUGAUGACGGUAACAGGAGAAGAAGCCCCGGCUAACUUCGUGCCAGCAGCCGCGGUAAUACGAAGGGGGCUAGCGUUGUUCGGAAUUACUGGGCGUAAAGCGCGCGUAGGCGGCUUUGCAAGCCAGAGGUGAAAUGCCUGAGCUCAACUUAGGAAUUGCCUUUGGGACUGCGAGGCUUCGAGGACUGGAGAGGUGAGUGGAAUUCCCAGUGUAGAGGUGAAAUUCGUAGAUAUUGGGAAGAACACCAGUGGCGAAGGCGGCUCACUGGCCAGUUUCUGACGCUAAAGUGCGAAAGCGUGGGGAUCAAACAGGAUUAGAUACCCUAGUAGUCC